RNAcentral lists this long non-coding RNA (406 nucleotides) under Helianthus annuus (common sunflower). RNAcentral describes it as "hypothetical non coding rna". The record is from RNAcentral. Lineage: Eukaryota; Viridiplantae; Streptophyta; Magnoliopsida; Asterales; Asteraceae.
GUUCAUAAUUCAGGUAUGCAGAUUUGGAAUAAUGGAAUAUACACAUAAAUUAUUCUUAUCAUACCACGGGUGGGGCCCAUGGCGCGUUGAACAUUCGUCAAACGACUAGUUGGCUAGAGAUAUAUAUGUAAGCAACUAGCGAGUUAUAUACUUAUAUAUACUAAAGACUGUUGUAUAUGUAUGGUUGUUACUUGUCAUUGCUGUCUGAACUAUCUACUUGAUUGUCAUAUAUUAUCUUCUGUAUCGGUUGAUUUGUCUCGGUUUCAGAUAUCCAAUCUGGCGUGUUUGUAGGCUGCGACUGAGACUGCGUGUAGGACUCGAAAAACUCCUUGUUCUCUUUCUCUAACUCAUUCCACACUGCGUAAUGGCACACUGGAGGUGAUGACUGCUUUGAUGUUUGCAUGUU